This 465-nucleotide ribosomal RNA is filed under the name Vreelandella stevensii. RNAcentral describes it as "partial 16S ribosomal RNA". It matches the Rfam family "Bacterial small subunit ribosomal RNA", at positions 338 to 795 of the family's 1533-position model. The record is from RNAcentral. Lineage: Bacteria; Pseudomonadati; Pseudomonadota; Gammaproteobacteria; Oceanospirillales; Halomonadaceae.
CCUACGGGUGGCAGCAGUGGGGAAUAUUGGACAAUGGGCGAAAGCCUGAUCCAGCCAUGCCGCGUGUGUGAAGAAGGCCUUCGGGUUGUAAAGCACUUUCAGUGGGGAAGAAAGCCUUGGGGCUAAUACCCUCGAGGAAGGACAUCACCCACAGAAGAAGCACCGGCUAACUCCGUGCCAGCAGCCGCGGUAAUACGGAGGGUGCGAGCGUUAAUCGGAAUUACUGGGCGUAAAGCGCGCGUAGGCGGUCUGAUAAGCCGGUUGUGAAAGCCCCGGGCUCAACCUGGGAACGGCAUCCGGAACUGUCAGGCUAGAGUGCAGGAGAGGAAGGUAGAAUUCCCGGUGUAGCGGUGAAAUGCGUAGAGAUCGGGAGGAAUACCAGUGGCGAAGGCGGCCUUCUGGACUGACCCGGACGCUGAGGUGCGAAAGCGUGGGUAGCAAACAGGAUUAGAUACCCUGGUAGUC